Molecule: ribosomal RNA, 482 nt
Filed under: uncultured bacterium
Lineage: Bacteria
Description: partial 16S ribosomal RNA
Rfam family: Bacterial small subunit ribosomal RNA
Source: RNAcentral
GACGAACGCUGGCGGCGUGCUUAACACAUGCAAGUCGAACGAUGAAGAAGAGAAACUCGCACUUCGGUUCAAAUUUCACUACGGAGUAGUUGCAGACGGGUGAGUAACGCGUGAGCAACCUACCUCUUACAAAGGGAUAGCCCCGAGACACCGUGAUUAAUACCAUAUGACACAUUCAUACGGCAUCUUAAGAAUGUUAAAGCUACGUCGGUAAGAGAUGGGCUUGCGUCCCAUUAGCUAGUUGGUGAGGUAACGGCCCACCAAGGCGACGAUGGGUAACCGGGCUGGGAGGGUGAACGGUCACAUUGGAAGUGAGACCCGGUCGAAACUCCUACGGGAGGCAGCAGUGGGGAAUAUUGAACAGUGGAGGGAAGUCUGAGGCAGCGACGCCGCGUGAGCGAUGAAGGAAUUCGUUACGUAAAGCGCGGUUAUAUGGGAAGAAAAGGACGGUACCAGAGGAGAAAGCCCCGGCUAAAUACGUG